RNAcentral lists this ribosomal RNA (254 nucleotides) under uncultured bacterium. RNAcentral's name for it is "partial 16S ribosomal RNA". It matches the Rfam family "Bacterial small subunit ribosomal RNA", at positions 524 to 776 of the family's 1533-position model. The record is from RNAcentral.
UACGUAGGGUCCAAGCGUUAAUCGGAAUUACUGGGCGUAAAGCGUGCGCAGGCGGUUCGUUAAGUCGGGGGUGAAAUCCCGAGGCUCAACCUCGGAACUGCCUUCGAUACUGGCGAUCUUUGAGUCCGGGAGAGGUGAGUGGAACUCCGAGUGUAGAGGUGAAAUUCGUAGAUAUUCGCAAGAACACCAGUGGCGAAGGCGGCUCACUGGCCCGGUACUGACGCUGAGGAACGAAAGCGUGGGUAGCGAACAGG